This is a long non-coding RNA of Balaenoptera ricei (Rice's whale), 6032 nucleotides long. RefSeq lists it as uncharacterized. NCBI's taxonomy places the organism in Eukaryota, Metazoa, Chordata, Mammalia, Artiodactyla, Balaenopteridae. The transcript is spliced from 3 exons. The record is from RefSeq and is a predicted model, not a curated record.
UGGCUCGGUGCCAGUUCAGGUAGACGGGCAGCCCCUCCCUGCACUGUUCGCUGCUGGCACAGGGGGCCGUGCUCCCCGCGCCCCUGCCUUUGGCACGAGGUGCUGCUCUCGGAAGAGCUGCUGUCUGUACCCUUGGGCUCCCGUGGGGCUCUCUCCUCUCCUUCCAGGAACACCUUUGCCACUAGCUCCGCCCCCCCAUUUACCCAGGAGGGCGGCAGGGCUUCCCAGGGGCGUCCGCACCGACAGUCCGAGCUGGGCAGGAGGACAGAGGCAGACGCAGCCCCCGCUCCCCGCCCCAGCAUCCCCCCAGCUUCGGCCGCAACCAGCGUCCAGCGUAGACGGUCAGCCCCACCCCCCUUUUGAAAUCCCCUCUUGCUUUGGACAGGCACUGCGAGAAACAGUGAAAAUAAAUCUUUUGUGGCUCAAAGGCUGAAGGAGGGAAAGAGGAGGAGCUGGUCGGCCUCCGCCUCGUCCCGUGGCAGGUGAGUGCCGACUGCAGGUGCCGCGCCGGCCUGGGAGCGGGUUUCCUGACUCGUUCCCCGCAGAUCACGGGCCAGUGAGAGGCCGUCAGACAGACAUCCCCGUGGUGACCGCGGAACACCAUAAGGACCACACGCUAUCUUUAAAAAGUGUCCUCCAUCUGCAACUGGUGAAGGCCGUGGAGGAAGUGGCUUGUCCCUUCCCACUUCAGAAUGCUUUUUUGGGACACUCGUCACAGUUGGGAGCCAAAGGCCACGGGUGCAGACAGACGGCACUAAGAAUCUCGUAACGACCCCCUUGAGCUCCCUCCCUCAGUCUGAGCCAGGCUCUUCCCUCUUCGUCACCUGUGUGUGUGCUUACAUCAUCCCAGUCGUCAAUCUUUUGCAGAAGAAAAACAGAUGGGAAAAGAGCUGCUCCUGAACGCAUCCCUCCGCGGGAACUCUGCUGUCCGGACGAGAAGCGUCUCUCCCCGGGACUCGUGAGCAGCAGCCCGCGGCAUUUGAUAAUGAAAACAGGGUCAGUCGGUCAGGAAAACCUAACAAUCGAAUGUGUGUGUUGCACAUAAAGGAGUUUCAAAGAACCGGAAGCAAAGUUUGACGAAAUUAAAGGAAGACAGACACUUCUACUGGGGUGAUGGAUAUUUUAACAUCUAAAUCACCUGUUCUCUCAGCAACUGGUAGAACUAGACCAAAAAACACAGACACAGGUGUUCUGAACAAAACUCUCAUCUCCUUGCCCUCACAGGUGUUGGGGUCCAGGCCACCUUUGUCAGAAAACUGUCCUGAGGAUGGAGCCGCGGUUUGCUUUCACCUCUGCAAGUCACAGCAGGCAGCAGCACCUUCAGACCUGCACGCGGGACACCCUCCCUUCCCGCAACAGUUGUCAGAAGAAGUGGCACAUCUCUGGGCACAUGGUCUGGUAGGCGGUGGCCACCCGGAACUUUCAGGGAGACGCCCACGCGAAGUUCCAAGGGUCAGAGUGCAGUCAGGGCCGCAGAAAGGGGCCCUUUCCAUGGGCUUGGGGUCGGGGGAGGCGGGGGACCUUGUAGAUUGCAACAAGACCCCCUUUGCCCCCCUUUGAGCGGAGGACCCACCUUGGGGCCUUGCAAUCUGAGUUCGCCGUAGCAGAGCCCCGAGCCCCAGGCCGCAGGAGAGACAGGCACCUGCCCGGCACCUGCUCCGUGCGGUCGGGUGCGGCCCGAGGACGGCCCUCGGGGUGCCUGGGACCCCGGCCCCCACCCCGGCCGCGUCGCGAGGCUGCGGUCGCCACUUGCAGACGGAUCGCCUUCCGCUUCCCGACACCGGCCCUUCCGCCCGCUGCCGGGCCCGCAGCGCCCCGGGGACAGGCAGGCGCCGGACGAGCCGCACUGGCCGUGCUAAUCGUCCUCCGCCUUCCGGCGCCGCGGGGACGCCUCGGCCCUGGACGGUUUGCGAGCGCUCAGCUUCCGCCUGAGGGAGGAGAACUUGUCGCCCAGGACCCGGCGCAGCCCCGCGCCGUCUCGGCCGCAGGGCGGGUCCUGCCGGGGGGCCGGGAGCCGCCCCGUGAACAGGUCCCAGCGGGCCAGGGCGUCCACGGCGCCGUCCACCCGCGCCAGCUCCUCCUCGGUCACGUCCCUCUCCAGGGCCUGGAUGCAGGCCGCCAGCCAGCGGCCGUGCUCCGCCAGCGCCUCCGCCGGACUCUCCGCGGCCGCCAAGGAGCCCAGCCCGUCCUCGGGCUCCAGCUCCGGGCCCGCGGGCAAGGCGUGGCUCCAGGCGUCCGGGGACAGGGGCUCCGACAGCCCGCUGCCCGGCUCCGAGUCGCUCUCGCCGCACAGGCCCGAGUCCGCGCUGCAGGGCAGGGUGUCCUCCGACACGGACGGCUCCCCCGCCGCCGGCCCAGGCCGUGUCCCCGCCGCCGCUAGCGUCCAGGUGUACAGCCUCUACGAGGGAGAGACGCGGGCUGAGUCGGCCUGUCCGGCCCCUUCCCUCGCCAGGGAGCCGCCAGGAGACCCAGCCCCUCUCCCGAGGGGACCCCACUGUGCCCACGACCCAGGGCGAGUGGCAGUCUGGUGUCAUAGGGGCCCUCGGAAUGGGGCCUCUAAAGACAGACGGCGAACUUGCGGGAGCUUUGCAAGCCUGACCGUUAUUCGUGGAUAAAUUGAGCUGACCUGUUAACACUCCGUUCAAAGCAAAGGCAAUGAUGGUUUUCCUACAUCCCACUAGCACCUCUGCACGUGGUGCAGCCGGGCAUCGGAGACGCCAGCGGUCAGCUACUGCCCACCUCCUCCCCGCUUUCCUCCCGUGAUGGCUCACAACUGGCCGUGGUGGAGUCUACACCAUGGAAACGGCAGAUAACUCCCAAUCGAGGCUUUUUCCUUAGAGGGCGCUUACCAGCACACCGCUGACUGAUGGGAACAGAUCCAGAGCAGGCCCAGGGCGCCCCCCUCGAGGUUAGGAGUCGCGGGAAGGCACGCGUCAGGGGAGGGGGACGAAGGGCCUGAAAGUUCGGGUCCGAUAGGCGAGCAAGACCCCAAGAAAGGAAGUGGUGAGAAACCCCAGACCUUCUGCAGGCCGCAGCUGCCCCCCUUCCCCUUACACGCACACGAGGAUAAUGGGCAGCUUACGGCCAAGUCCCCAGCCCUGCGCUUGGUGGGGCAGGCACUCCGGUGACGGUGACGCCCACGCCCGUCGCAUCCUGCUGAGCGGCGUCAGCCAGUCGGCAGCAGGGGCACCUCCCUACGGGGGCACUGCCUCUGGGUCCCCUCUCCAGCGAGGCAGGCCGCCUCCUCAGCGCCCCUCGACGCGCUAUUUUACCCCAGAGACAUUCAGGGGAGACCCAGGCCGGGAGGCAACUCGGACCUGGACAUGCCCAGCCCCGUGUUCAGGGGUCCCCAGCCUGGGGUCCCCGACCAGCAGCAGCCUGGGAGCCCGUUAGAAACGCAGAGCCAACCCCUCCACAAGCACCGAAUCGUAAACUCCUGCCUGUCCGAGAGCCUCUCCCCCGAGUCCAGCACCCGGACCCAGUGGGCUCCAGAAGCUGACCGUCUCCAAGAGGAGGAUGGGCUUCCCAGAACCUCAGACACAACGAGAUUCACUUAAAGCGUCUGGCUUAAAACUUUGGGUCUUAAAAUUAAGCCCAAGCUGUUCUGUUGGUGGGCCUAUGCCUUCAUUCGAACAAAAAACUUUUUUAACUUGGUAUUUUCAUCCAAAGGUGGAUUUAAAGAAGAAAUUACCACUCUUCCAAAAGAUUGAAGAGGAGGGAACACUCCCAAAGACAUUCUAUGAAGCCACCAUCACCCUGAUACCAGAAACAAAGAUACCACCAAAAAAGAAAAUUACACGCCAAUAUCUUUGAUGACUAUAGAUGCAAAAAUUCUCAACAAAAUAUUAGCAAACCAAAUCCAACAACACAGUAAAAAGUUCAUACACCACAACCAAGUGGGAUUCAUCCCAAGUUCACAAGGAUGGUUCAAUAUAUGCAAAUCAAUCAAGGUGAUACACCACUUUAACAAAAGAAGACAAAAACCACCUGAUCAUCUCAAUAAAUGCAGAAAAGCAUUUGACGAAAUUCAACAUUAUGAUAAAACUCUUACCAAAGUGGGUAGAGAGGGAACCUAUCUCCACCUAAUAAAAGCCAUUUAUGACAAACCCACAGCCAACAUAAUACUCAACGGUGAAAAGCUGAAAGCCUUCCCACUAAAAUCUGGAACAAGACAAGGAUGCCCACUCACACCACUUCUAUUCAAUAUAGUACUGGAAGUCCUAGCCACAGCAAUCAGUCAGACAAGGAAAAGAAAUAAGAAGUAUCCAAAUUGCAAGGGAAGAGGUAAAACUGUCACUAUAUGUGGAUGACAUGAUACUAUAUAUAGAAAACCCUAAAGACUCCAAACAAAAACUACUAGAAUUGGUUGCAUUUCUUUACACUAGCAAUGAAAUAUCAGAAAGGGAAUGUAAAAAAAACAAUACCUUUUAAAAUUGCACCACAAAAUUAAAAUACCUGGGAAUAAACCUGACCAAGGAGGUGGAAGUCUUAUAUGCUGAGAUCUAUAAAACAUUAAUAAAGGAAACUAAAGAAACUGAUUCAAAGAAAUGGAAAGAUAUCCCAUGCAUUUGGAUUGGAAGAAUUAAUAUUGUUAAAAUGGCAAUACUACCCAAAGCAAUCUACAGAUUUAAUGCGAUCCCUAUCAAAUUACCCAUGACAUUUUUCACAGAACUAGAACAAAUAAUCCAAAAAUUUAUAUGGAACCAUAAAAGACCCAGAAUUGCCAAAGCAAUCCUGAGGGGGGGCGGGGGGGGAAGCAGGAGGCAUAACCCUCCCAGACUUCAGACAAUACUACAAAGCGACAGUAAUCAAAACAGUGUGGUAUUGGCACAAAAACAGACAUAUGGAUCAAUGGAACAGAAUAGAGAGCCCAGAAAUAAACCCACACACCUAAGGUGAAUUAAUCUUCGACAAAGGAGGCAAGAAUAUAAAAUGGGAAAAAGCCUCUUCACUAAGUGGUGCUGGGAAAGUUGGACAGCUGCAUGUAAAUCAAUGAAAUUAGAACACACCCUCAUACCAUGCAUAAAAAGAAACUCAAAAGGGCUUAAAGAGUUAAACAUAAUACAUGACACCAUAAAACUAGAAGAGAGCAUGGCCAAAACAUUCUCUGACAUAAAUCAUACAAAUGUUUUCUUAGGUCAGUCUCCCAAGGCAAUAGAAAUAAAAACAAAAAUAAAUAAAUGGGACCUAAUCAAACUUACAAGCUUUUGCACAGCAAAGGAAACCAUAAACCAAACAAAAAGACAACCUAUGAAAUGGGAGAAAGUUUUUGCAAAUGAGGCGACCAACAAGGGCUUAAUCUCCAAAAUAUACAAACAGCUCAUAAAACAAUAACAAAAAAAAACAAACCACCCAAUCAAAAACUGGGCAGAAGACCUAAAUAGACAUUUCUCCUAAGAAGGCAUACAGAUGGUCAAUAAGCACAUAAAAAGAUGCUCAACAUCACUAAUUAUUAGAGAAAUGCAAAUCAAAACUACAAGGAGGUACCACCACACACCAGUUAGAAUGGCCAUCAUUAAAAAGUCUACAAAAAACAAAUGCUGGAGAGGGUGUGGAGAAAAGGGAACCCUCCUACACUGUUGGUAGGAAGGUAAACUGGUGCAGCUACUAUGGAAAACAGUAUGGAACUUCUUCAGAAAACUAAAAAUAGAAUUACCAUAUGAUCCAGCAAUUCCACUGCUGGGCAUAUAUCCAGACAAAACUCUAAUCCAGAAAGAUACAUGCACCCCUACGUUCACAGCAGCACUAUUUACAAAAGCCAAGACAUAGAAACAACCUAAAUGUCCAUUGACAGAUGAAUGGAUAAAGAAGAUGUGGUACAUAUAUACAAUGGAAUACUACUCAGCCAUAAAAAAAGAAUGAAAUAAUGCCAAUUGUAGCAACAUGGAUGCAACUAGAGAUUAUCAUACUAAGUGAAGUAAGUCAGAGAAAGACAAAUACCAUAUGAUAUCACUUACAUGUGGAAUCUAAAAAAUGACACAAGUGAACAUAUCUAUGAGACAGAAACAGACUCACAGACGUAGAGAACAGAC